RNAcentral lists this ribosomal RNA (384 nucleotides) under uncultured bacterium. RNAcentral describes it as "bacterial SSU rRNA". It matches the Rfam family "Bacterial small subunit ribosomal RNA", at positions 30 to 416 of the family's 1533-position model. The record is from RNAcentral.
AUUGAACGCUGGCGGCAUGCCUUACACAUGCAAGUCGAACGGAUUGAGGGGCUUGCUCCUCAGUUAGUGGCGAACGGGUGAGUAAUGCAUCGGAACGUACCCAGUCGUGGGGGAUAACUACUCGAAAGAGUAGCUAAUACCGCAUACGCCCCGAGGGGAAAGCGGGGGACUCGCAAGAGCCUCGCGCGAUUGGAGCGGCCGAUGUCAGAUUAGCUAGUUGGUAGGGUAAAAGCCACCAAGGCGACGAUCUGUAGCUGGUCUGAGAGGACGACCAGCCACACUGGGACUGAGACACGGCCCAGACUCCUACGGGAGGCAGCAGUGGGGAAUUUUGGACAAGUGGGGCAACCCUGAUCCAGCAAUGCCGCGUGAGUGAAGAAGGCC